This 242-nucleotide long non-coding RNA is filed under the name Brassica napus (rape). Its description in RNAcentral is "long non-coding RNA (BNAP_LNC025671)". Lineage: Eukaryota; Viridiplantae; Streptophyta; Magnoliopsida; Brassicales; Brassicaceae. The record is from RNAcentral.
AAGAGAGUGUUUAAGAAGUGAUUAAGAGAAGUUUGUGAAAGAUUAAGUGACUAGAUAGAGCCGUUUAGAGUCUAAGAGAGAACCAUAGUGUCUAAGAGAUUAGAAAGACUCAAACUGCAUAAUCUUAUUAAUGAGUGAGGUUACAUAUUUAUAUGGAAAGCAUAAGGGUUUACAAGAGGCGAAAUGGGCACUAUUGAAGCAUGUAGAGUCAAGGUUGCUUUCCGGAUGAUUGGAUGAUAAGG